GAUGAACGCUGGCGGCGUGCCUAAUACAUGCAAGUCGAGCGAACGGACGAGAUGCUUGUUUCACUGAUAUUAGCGGCGGACGGGUGAGUAACACGUGGAUAACCUACCUAUAAGACUGGGAUAACUUCGGGAAACCGGUGCUAAUACCGGAUAAUAAUUUGAAACGCAUGGUUCAAAAGUGAAAGACGGUCUUGCUUUCACUUAUAGAUGGAUCCGCUCUGAUUUAGCUAGUUGGUAAGGUAACGGCUUACCAAGGCAACGAUGCUUAGCCGACCUGAAGGGGUGACCGGCAACACGGGAACGGAGACAGGGUCUAGACUCUUACGGGGGGAGGAGGUAGGGAAUCUUCGGAAAGGAGGGAAGUCCGGACGGAGCAACGCGGCGUGGGUGAGGAAGGUCUUCGGAUCGUAAAACUCUGUUAUUGGGGAAGAAGAUAUGGGUAAGUAACUGUGCACAACGUGACGGUACCUAAUCAGAAAGCCACGGCUAACUACGUG
RNAcentral lists this ribosomal RNA (497 nucleotides) under uncultured bacterium. RNAcentral's name for it is "partial 16S ribosomal RNA". It matches the Rfam family "Bacterial small subunit ribosomal RNA", at positions 28 to 507 of the family's 1533-position model. The record is from RNAcentral.